Molecule: long non-coding RNA, 636 nt
Filed under: Cricetulus griseus (Chinese hamster)
Lineage: Eukaryota; Metazoa; Chordata; Mammalia; Rodentia; Cricetidae
Description: lncRNA (ENSCGRG00015030284.1)
Source: RNAcentral
UCCCAAACUGUAUGUUUGGGAGUCAAGGAGGAUCUCAAAUCAGUGUUGAGGCCAGCUGAGGCUACAUAGCAAGUUCCAGGCCAGCAUGAGCUACAUUGCAGACCCUAUUGAGAGGACUGACCCUCACAGAAAAUGUGAGGGGUCCAGAGUACACAGCCCCCAGGUUCUUCUGGCCCUCAGGUGAAAUGGAAAGGCUGGCUUCCUUGCUAGGUGUCUGGAGCUCUCUGGAGGUGUCAGUGCAAGAGGGAGACUACCAGCCCAGAGCUCAGCUUGAGGACUGAGUGAGCUGCCAGCCGACAACCUCAGCAAAUCCAUCUCCUUGGAAUACUUCAUCCCUACCCGACCCCCUCCACCCUUUGGCGACUUGUCAUAGCCCUGAGAACCUUCGAAUGAGGUGCCAACUACACAGCUGCAAGAUUCCCACAGCUAAUUGUUGAUUUCUGCCACGCAGGCUUCAGCCUCCCUGUGAAUCUUGCUUCUCUAUCUGCUUCAGGACCUGAGUUAGAUGGGGAAAGCCUAGGAUUGUCAGAGCUGGGCCAGGUCAGCCUGGACCCAAGGCAUACUAGCCCAAGGGUGGGCAGGCUGGUCUGAUGGGCAAGGGGUUUGAACAGGGUAGGGCUGCAUAGGGCACCCCCC